AUGUUGUUCCCAGCCCUGUUCGAAGAAUCGAUCGACGCGGACAUGGAGCUCUUGGAAGAGCCAUACCCCAUCUCUGAGCUGGAAGAGAAGGUGCCGCUACCGCCAGAAGAAUGGAGCGGUUCAUUCCCCAUGGUAGCCGCAACGGCGGCAAAUCUUGGAUCGGCCUGCAUCGCGUUCUUGGGGUUCUCGCCUAUCGGCGGGAAAUUCUCCCAGUCCCACAGCACCGAGCUCCUCUGGUUCCACUCCAUCCCGAACGAGCCCAUGCCAGAGCCCGAGAUCUCCGGUGCCGCUGCUCCUACUCGCACGUCAAAGCUGCUGCCACUGAAGCAACAGAAUGGAACACAAAGAGGUGAGGAGCAGAAUUAG
Molecule: ribosomal RNA, 366 nt
Filed under: Triticum aestivum (bread wheat)
Lineage: Eukaryota; Viridiplantae; Streptophyta; Magnoliopsida; Poales; Poaceae
Description: partial small subunit ribosomal RNA
Source: RNAcentral